AUGGAGGAUCCAGAUGCUGCAUCUGCAUCCGCUCUGGCGGCCAUGGCAGAUCCUGAUGACGCUUCUCUUGAAGCAGCGAUGCAAGCUCCGAUUACUGUUGGGAUGGGACCCGUCGGCCCCCUCCUCCGGAAACUCCAUCGACAGAGUCGGGCGCCAGAUCUGCUAGGUGCGGAAGAUGUUCAUCUUCUCAAGAUUUUAUGCAUCUGGCUGAAGGGUAUGUCGGAGGAGGAAGAGGCUACCUGCCUGGUCCAGUGGUGGAUGAAGAUGGCUCGGGAACUUUGUUAUGACACGGAUGAUCACCUGGACGAGAUCAUCGCCACCGGCGCUCGUGCUGCCGACUCAAGACUACUUACUCGUGUCAAGGAUGCGUGUGAAAGACACCUGCGUUUCAAGUUGUCUCCUACAAAGGCUAUCAAACCAGGUGACCGGGGGGAAUCCUCCCUCGAGCAGCCGCCGGUUCCCCUCCCUGUCCAUCUGGAGCCGCCAAAGAGUCUUGUCGAGAUGCUGGCUUUAGACGACGCCGAGAACACACUCAAGGUGAUACCUAUACUUGGAUGUGCAGGCGUUGGAAAGACAACAGCUGCCAGAGCCUUGUAUCACAAACAUGCAGGGAAAUUUCAGUGCCGUGCUUUUCUAACUGUGUCCCGGAAUCCAGAUAUGAGGGGGUUUCUCACCAGCAUACUCAAACAACUCAAGGCACAACGGCCAGGUCGCUUUCCUGAUGUACCGGACCUUAUCGAUGCUAUCAGCGAUUAUCUCCAAGGCAAAAGGUACUUUAUCGUAAUUGACGAUAUAUGGACUGCAUCAGUAUGGAAUGUUAUCUGGCUUGCUUUUCCUCGUGAUGAUUCUUGCAGCCGAAUAAUAACAACUACAGAGAUUGAAGAUGUAGCAUUGGCAUGCAGUGGUUAUUACUCAGAAUGUGUAUAUAAGAUGGAACCUCUUGAUGAUAACGAAUCCAGAAAGUUAUUUUUCAGUAGAGUGUUUAGCCCUGAAGAUGAUUGUCCAAAACAUAUCAAAGAAGUUUCAGAUGUGAUUGUAAAGUGUGGUGGUUUGCCAUUAGCUAUUGUAAAUAUAGCCAGUCUGCUAGCAUAUGAGUCAAAAACCGUAGCAGAAAAAUGGAAACACAUACAUGAUUCUUUGACUUCCACUUCGGUGGGGAUGGAAAAUGUUCUCAACCUUAUGUACAAUAGUCUCCCAUCUCGAUUGAGGACAUUCUUGCUAUAUCUUAGCAUGUAUGCACAGGACUAUGUGAUCAAGAAGGAUGAGUUGGUGAAGCACUGGGUAGCCGAAAGCUUUCUUAGAGCUGUGGAAGGGCAAGACAUAGAAGAAAUUGCUGAGGGUUAUUUUAAUGAGCUUGUCAGCAGAGGAAUGGUCCAAGCCGUGGACACCGGUUAUAACGGCGAGGUCUUGUCAUGUUCAGUUCACCAGAUUGUACUGGAUUUCAUUAGGCGCAAAUCCAGGGAGGAAAAUUUUGCCAUCACUGUGGACUAUGAUCAAUCAACUCUAGCACUUCCUGAGAAAGUUCGCCGAUUGUCUGUCCAGUUUGGAGGGGUAAAAGGUGCAUGCAUACCGGAAAGCAUCGUAACAUCCCAUGUUCGAUCGCUUAUAUUUUGGGGUUUCAUCAAGUGUGUGCCUUGCAUUAUGGAUUAUGGACUUCUUCGGGUUCUGAUUCUUCAUAUUUGGGCUGACGAAGACAACGAGAGUUUUGACCUCAGUGGAAUUGGUAAGCUAUUUCUUCUCAAGUAUCUCAAGAUCGAAUGUAAUAUCACUGUCAAACUCCCAGGCAAUAUUAACGGGCUCCGAUACUUGGAGACACUGGAAGUACAUGCAGAAUUAUCUGCUGUUCCUGAUGGUAUUUUUUAUCUGGAGAGAUUGCAGCACAUCCGCAUUCCGAGCAAGUCUAUUCUACCCCACGGAGUUGGCCAAAUGACAUCUCUUCGCACUCUGGGGUAUAUUUAUCUCGGCAAUUACUUGGAAGAAAAUGGCCGCACUUUUGAAAGGCUUACUAAUCUCCAGGAUCUUCAGCUCACAUGUUCUACAGUACAGCCAGCAGAAAAUAUGGAAAAGAAUGUGCAACUCCUAGGCUCGAUUCUUGAGAAACACAGAGUAUUGCAGUCCGUAUCUCUAGUGCCAGCUGCUUCAUUCUCCUCUUAUAUUCGUCGGGAUGAUGCUCGGCCCUUGUGUGAUGGCUUCUGCAUCGUUUCUCCUCCACCGGCCCUCCGAAGACUUGAGCUGUCGCGGCACUGUUGGAUCUUCUCCAGCCUACACGACUGGAUUGGAGAUUUUGUCAACCUCUGUAUUUUAAAGAUUGCAGUUGGCGGGCUGUCGAGGGAGGAUACUGAUGUCCUGAAACGACUGCCUGCCCUCACUGCUCUUACCCUGUAUAUCCAGACAGCUCCUGCAGAGGGGGUCUUGAUUGACAAUGGGGGUUUCCAAGUACUCACGUGUUUCAAGUUCUUGUGUGCUGCACCAUGCCUGUACUUUGCGCCAGAAGCAAUGCCCAGAGUCCAAAAGCUCACGCUAGGCUUCAAUACCAACAGAAUGAAGCCACAUAGCCUUCAAACUUCUGGCUUCCGCCACUUGACAGGCCUUACAGAGGUCUCUGUUAAAUUUGGGUCUCGGGCUGGUGAUAAAUUCGACGGGAAAGCUGCAGAGUCUGCAUUAGAGGCUGCAGUUAGCAAUCAUCCAAACACUCCUAUAAUCAGAGUACAAUGCGCACAUGUGUUUUUUGACGGUGGAGAGGAUAAUAGUACCACGACUGGAGAACAAGAGCACAAACAACAAGAGAUUCCACAAGACAACAAGACCACGGGACAUUCGGAGGUACUUGUGAACAAGGAAUUAGUCAAUAGCAGCAGAUAUGAAAAGUACGGUGUUUUCACUCUGCAGAAGAAUAUCGCACAAUCAGUCGACCUCGUGACGGGGGCCUUCGGCUCCCUGCUCCCCAAGCUGCUCGACCUCCACAAGGACGACCACAGGGUCGAGUCUCUUUACAAGGAGCUCGAGGGUAUGCAAGCUGCCCUCCGUGACGUGGCGAGGCGAGAGCCCACUCAGCAGGAUGAAGUGAUCAUGAUCUGGGCAAAGCAAGUAAGAGACAUCUCGUAUGAAGUGGAGGAUCACAUUGAUUCUUUAACUAGGGGCUCGUCCGGAGUGAAUACCCUCGGCGACGAGUACAUCAAUUACAUCAUGGAAAAGGUCCAGGAUGUGGCCGGCAGACGUGAGAGGUACAAGGCUGAUCACAACAUUGUUGCAGCUAAUUCAAAUGCCUCAGCUAACGUCUACCCUCACUUAUGGAGUCUGUGCCAAGAGUCGGAAGAGAGGUUAAUUGGCAUGGAAGUUCCAGUACAUGAGGUCAUAAGGAAGCUGACAGGAAGCGAUUCAGACUAUGAAAAUCACAGCCUGAAGAUAGUCUCCAUUGUUGGGAUGGCCGGAUCGGGCAAGACAACUCUUGCCAAAGCAGUUGCAAAAGUUGUAUUUUCCUCUAAUUCGGAAUGGGCGAACCUAUACUCGACUCAUAAACACGACUAUUCCUAUCGUGAUUCAGUGGAGACUUUUUUUGUUACCGUAUCUCAGGAUCCCGACAUGAAGAGAGUUCUCACGGACAUCCUACUUCAAAUUGACGAGCUGAAGUACACGAGUCUCAUUGGAGCAUCGUGUGACGCAGAGCUGCUUAUUAAUGCAAUCCGGAGAGGACUUCGGAAAAAGAGGUACUUGAUUGUUAUUGAUGAUAUAUGGGAUGUAAAAUUGUGGAAAAUUUUGAAGUAUGCCAUAGAUAAUGGAGAUGGAGGUAGAGUAAUCCUAACUACUCGGCUUUUGGAAGUGGCUGUCAAUGCCGGUGGUGUUUACAAGCUAAAAGCACUUUCUCAUCCAAUGUCUAAAGAAUUAUUUCAUACAAGAUUGUUUGGUGCUAUUCGUAUUAGACCGGAGCCGGAGAUACCUGAAAAGCUUAUACAGAAAUGUGGUGGUGUACCUUUAGCUGUCAUUACAAUGGCUAGUUUAUUUACGGGGAAACCAUGGAACUAUUUCUCUAAGGUGUACAGAAAUGUUAGUUUUGAGUCUGAGGUUGGAAGCAACAGAGAUGUCAACGACACACGGAAGAGAUUAUUAUCUAGCUAUUAUAAUCUACCUUAUCAUCUGAGGGCAUGCUUAUUGCAUCUACACAUUUUUCCUGAAGACUAUUUAAUCAAGAAAGAAACUUUGAUCUGGAAGUGGGCAGCGGAAGGUUUAAUCAUUGAGGAACCAGGGGCAGGGUUAUUUGAGGUUGGAGAGAGAUACUUCAACGAACUCAUAGAGAGAAACGUGGUCAUACCAGUGGAGGACGGUUCACACUGUGGGAUAAUAAUUGGUUGCCAUGUCCAUUAUCUGGUUUAUGAUAUGAUCUGUUCCUUAUCAACCGCACAAGAUUUUGUCACCGUAGCAGAUGGAAGCAAGCAAUACUCUCCUGCUGAAAGCAAUGCUCGCAGGUUAGCUGUUCAAAAGUGGAACGCGGAGCAGGUCGACCCUCUGGCUAACAAUCGCGACGGAAUGCUGAGGUCAUUUAAUACCAUGGGGUGUUGUUUUAGUAUGGGACUAUCACUUUCAAGGUUUGAACUUCUGCGUGUGAUUGCUAUAGAAGAAUGCACUUUCACUGGAGGCAGGAGUAAUCAUCUUAAGCAUCUGGGGAAGUUACUUCUGUUGAGGUACCUCGGACUAUAUAACACUCGUAUUGAUGAGCUACCAGAAGAAAUAGGGGAUCUAAUUUCUUUGCAGACACUGGACUUGAGGGGGACCACGGUACAACAAUUCCCAGCGAGUGUUGCUCGGCUAAGGCAGCUCAAGUGUCUGCGAGCUGAUAGCAUAACAGCACCGGAUUGGAUGGGCAAUUUUACAUCCCUAGAGGUACUACAGCUGGGCGAGGUCGGCAUGUCAAAAGACUUGGCGACAGUGCUAGGCAAACUGACAGAGCUGAGGGAGCUCAAUAUUCAGAUUGAGAAGUUGGAUGAGAUCAUGAGCAAAGCUUUGGUGCAAUCCUUGGGUAAACUGCAGGAAAUCAGAAUUUUAAAGCUUAGUAUGAGUUUCUUGCCGGGUGAAGAGGCCAAUUGGGAAGGCUUUGUGCCGCUCGAGUACCUCCAUGAUCUGCAUAUGAAGAUUCCAUCCUGUGGACUGCCGGCAUGGAUUAAUCACUCGUUUGUUCCGUAUCUGUCACAUCUGUCUGUGGAAGUGAAGGCUUUUGCGGAGGAGCAGGAUCUGGAGAACCUGGGGAGGUUGCAAGAGCUCCUCAGUUUGGAGCUGCUGAUGCCGUCAAACGUCUUCCUCGGCAUCAAGGGUCACAAUUCGUUCCCCAGUUUGAGGUACUUCGGCACGUCUGCACCAACCAGUUUUCGACCUGGAGUUAUGCGGAGCGUGGAAUCCUUUCGUUUCAAAGCCCAGGAGCCAGACUUGAUGGCUGUCAACUUUGACUUCGGUAGCUUGGGGAACCUCCCUUCUCUUCAGAAAGUGGAAGUUGAAAUCAGCUCCACUAGUGACGUCGAGGCGGUGCGUGAAGCGCUGCAGCUUGCGGUGGACAAACAUCCGAACUAUCCCAGCUAUUAUGUCAUAACACCUGAUCAGGUGGGCACUGCGCACCGAAGACUACUGUAA
RNAcentral lists this ribosomal RNA (5619 nucleotides) under Triticum aestivum (bread wheat). RNAcentral describes it as "partial small subunit ribosomal RNA". The record is from RNAcentral. Lineage: Eukaryota; Viridiplantae; Streptophyta; Magnoliopsida; Poales; Poaceae.